AUCCUGUGUGGAUUCAUCAUAUUUCGUUUUGGCACAAAUCGACCCACUUCCGAAACACUAAUAUCCUACGGAAAGUGCAGUUCUGACUCAGACCCACACUCUUCGACUUCUCCUUUUCGUGUUCAUGAUCUCUGUUACUGCGAUCCAUAUCCUAUCAAUCAAUAUGUUCUUCACUCCCUUCGAUUCUUUUCAACUCCCUUUUUUUCUUUUUUUUCCAUUAAUUUCAACCCAAAAAAAGGGAUCUGAAACAGUACAAUCGUCUGGUGUACCGGAGAAACGUCGGCUCUAAGUUACAAGGCUUCAACCUCACUCACAAACAAACAAUCUAAUAGCACGCCGACCACCGCUGCUACAUUCUCCGUUGUCGGCUUACAUCUCCUUAAAUCAUACGUUCUACCCACUACACCUCCCACUCUCUCGCAUCUGAACGGACUCAUCAUCAUCCGUUUAUAGAUUCUCCUUGCUUGCGAUGAAUACCCUGUUAGGAAAUCUCAAAGGUCAAAUUCCGUCUAUAGAUCUCUCUCUCACGCUCAACACCGUCGCAGUGAGUUGUGAAGGCGAAAGAACAAGUUGUAGAAGGGAAGAUGCGUCAUCUAAUCCUGGAGAUAUUGAGUCUGUGAAGAAGAAGCUAUACGUAGCAAAAGUGUGGGUGCAGAACUUCAAAAAGUUCAAGAGUUCAAUCAUGCCGAUGAGCAUGGAUCCGUAUGGAGGGGAGUUCCAAGGGACGGUUGGAAGGAGUUCCAAGGGACGAUUUUCCAAAUCUUUUGGAAAACCAUGUACCAAAAGCAACAAAUGGAUUGGGAUUCAAACUGAUAACAGAUAGUGUUAUAUUUCAUGGUAAAAAUUCUCCAAGAAGCUAUAGCAAGGGGUAUCUUCCUUCUCAUGCAUCUCAUGUGAUAAUUCCAACUCUGUCGGUGUCGUCAGGUUUAUGCUGAUCAAAGAGAGAGAUUGGCAAUGUUCAUGGAGUGGCUUGAUCAGUUCUAGAGAUUUAAUCAGAGAGAGUAGAAAAACCAUGAUGGAGACGAAAAACCAUGAUUUGAGCGAUAUAAAAUUUAGCGCUGUUGUAGAGAAGCAUUGGAUUAGCCAUUAGACUUGAUUAAUAUGUUUAGUCUAGAUUUUAUUUUCUUUUUUAGUUACUUAAAAAAAAUUCUUUGUUUUUCAGGUGCAUUUCCAGCAGUACUAGAAGUAACAUAGAGAAAGAUAUUAUAUUCUCAGACCAUGCACGUGUGAAACGUUCAAUCCGCAAAAAAAGACGCACAUCAUCGAUCGACACUUGUGAACUGGCACCGAUCGAUACUUCUCAACUAGAAUCGAUCAAGACCAACCUACGAGUAGAUAUGGUUGUGACUCUUGUGCUGAUAAACAUGCUUCAGGUUUAAAAGUGGGACAUGCAUGACCCUGAAAGUCAUAUGCAUAAUGCAGCAAGUCAGAAGAUUGAUGGAGACAAAUUUGAGUGCCUUGCUUAUACCCAUAAUCAGAAGAGAAUGGAGAUAAAUUUGUUAGCCAAAGUCGAAAGUGUGUGUUUGUUGGCUAUCCUUAUGAAAAGAAAGAUUGGUCUCUAUUUGGUUGCCUCUCUCGUAUCUGUCUACUCGGUUCUAGAACAUUCCAUUGAUUUUUAGAAAUUAAUUUGUUCAGCGAAA
Molecule: RNA transcript, 1640 nt
Organism: Brassica rapa (field mustard)
Lineage: Eukaryota; Viridiplantae; Streptophyta; Magnoliopsida; Brassicales; Brassicaceae
Source: RefSeq, a predicted model, not a curated record